CCCUCAGGGAUAGGGACCUCUAACUUCCUAAAGAAGAGUGUGAAUAGCAUGCCAUAAAGGAGACUCAACCUAGGUUUAUCUAGGGGUUCAAAGAUAUAUUUGUAGAUGAGUUUGGGGAAGUUGAUGGAAGUGUCUUAGAGAAUGUGGAACAUCAAUGCUAGGUCUCUCUCGGAGAUGAAGUCAAACCUACCAGUUUUGAGAAAGAGAGUCCUAAAAAUGAUAC
This 223-nucleotide long non-coding RNA is filed under the name Phoenix dactylifera (date palm). RNAcentral describes it as "long non-coding RNA (PDAC_LNC009499)". The record is from RNAcentral. Lineage: Eukaryota; Viridiplantae; Streptophyta; Magnoliopsida; Arecales; Arecaceae.